UUAAAAUAAGAGAUAAUCUGAGAAUAUUAAAAAUUUAAACGCACGGAUAAUACCAAAUUUCGAUAAACAAAUGGUACAAAAUUUGUAUUUCGAUAAACUACGGAUACCAAAUAUGCAUUUACAAAAAAAUAAAAAUAAAAUAAAAAAUAGACUUGAUCAAUAAUGACAAAAAAAAACAGCUUAUUUUAUUUGGCUAACACCGUAACUCCAAGUUAUUUACUAUCAAUAACUAUGUUAUGAAAUCAAUGGUAUGAAAUCAAUGGUAUGAAAUCAAUAACUCUUAUCAAUAAAAUUUUCACAUACAUUCAAUAAAUGGUAUGAAAUCAAUACCCCAGGCAGCUGUUGAUCCUCGACCACCCACUACGCGUUCUAACCAUCUGUGGCAGCUCCUCGAACUCAUUGUUCCUCCACUCACUUCGCCAUUGUUCUAAAUGUGUUCGUUAAAAUGCUUCAAAGAGACAGAUUACUUCUUUCUUCUUCUGGCAUCUCACACCUUGCCCUGCUUUUAAUGGUUCUAUCUUCACAACUUCUACUCCUCUUCACAAUUUGAAACAAUUAUGUGUUUACAUCUUUAUUGGCCCAAGAAGAAAGAGCUUGAGAAUUGGCCUGGCCACCAACGUGAGUGGAGCAGUACAACCGUAGAUACGGCAAAAUGUUCUCCUUCUUGAAAGAAAAACCAAUUCAAUGCCAAUGCUUCUUCUCUUUCUAAUUUUAAAGAAGGUCAAAAUCACUGUUGUCAAAUAUUAAUAUAGUUUCAUAUUCACUCUUCUGAUACUUUUUUGUCAUUGCUUAUUGGUUAUCAAUUAUUAAUUAUUCUUAUUUUCGUGGUACAAUUAAAAUUUGUAUUCAAUGGUUUUGACAUUACAAUUGCCGCAACUAAAGCAAUUUCUCCAACAGCAUGUUAAAGGCACUUGUAGACAUAUAAACAUGAAUCUUGCAACACAUGUUCUUUUGUUUAAGAUGAAUGUUGACAUUGUCAUGUAUGUUAUCGAAAAGUUAGUGAAGUUGGAGCCAUCUUUUCUGCAUUUGGUGGUUAUCUCUGUCAUGUUUGACCAAGUAUGUUAUAGAUCACUAUUCAACAAGAAAAAUAGAGGCUUCGACUUUUCUCUUAAGGGUGUUUGGUAUGAGAUUUGAGUUUUGGGAGAAUAGAGUUAGAAAGGGUUUGAGGAAGUGUUUGGUAUGGGGGUUUGGUUUGGUGGGAAUAGGAAUGUCAAAUCUAACCCAUGUUUGGUAAAUUUAUUUUUAAUGGCUUGGGGAUUUGUGUUUCCAAAUAGGUCUUAUUUUUUAGCUUGAUUUGAGGAUAAUCUUAACCUCUUUAAACACUUGAGUUUCACAUUCCCUUAAUCUAAACCCCUUCUAACUCUACUCCCACAAACUCAAACUUCAUACCAAACACCCCCUAAGAUUACCCUCAAAUCAAGUUUUAAAAAAUAAGACUCACUUGGAAACACAAACUCCCAAGCCAAUAAAAAUAAAUUUACCAAACAUAAGUUAGAUUUGACAUUCUCAUUCCCAUCAAACUAAACCCCAUACCAAACACCCCUUAAGGCUUCUAUGGUCUCCACAAUAAAUGUUGCAGAAGUAGAGGUGAAUCCAACUUUGUCUCAGCACUUUGUCUCUUCUCGAUAGUACUUUUUCCAUAGAAAUUUUAAAAAUUGUUAGCUAUCCCUCUAAGUUUUGCUCUUUUUCAUGUGUUGCAUCUUUAUGAUAACAAUGCUCGUGAACUAGUCAAACAUUGAACUAGUCAAGCAUUCACUUACAAUAGAAAACGAGUUAAGAUUAAAAGUUUUCCUUCCUGUAUUAUGACAUUUGUACUUGAUAUUGAUAUGGUCUUUCAUUAAAAAAAAAAAAAAAGAUAAAAUCCAUAUAUUAUGAGCAAUGUUAUGCGCACACUAUUGAUUUCAUAGCCCAUAAUAGUGUUUUAUCAAACUAAAUAAAACUACAUUUAAAAAAAAAAAAAGAAGAAACAAUUUGAAAUUCAUUCUU
Humulus lupulus (European hop) is the source of this 1986-nucleotide long non-coding RNA. RefSeq lists it as uncharacterized. The record is from RefSeq and is a predicted model, not a curated record. The transcript has 2 exons. Lineage: Eukaryota; Viridiplantae; Streptophyta; Magnoliopsida; Rosales; Cannabaceae.